Molecule: ribosomal RNA, 478 nt
Filed under: uncultured bacterium
Lineage: Bacteria
Description: partial 16S ribosomal RNA
Rfam family: Bacterial small subunit ribosomal RNA
Source: RNAcentral
GAUGAACGCUGACAGAAUGCUUAACACAUGCAAGUCGAUGAGAAGACUCCCUUCGGGGAGAGGGUAUCAUGGCGGACGGGUGAGUAACGCGUAAAGAACUUGCCGUAUGGACAGGGAUAGCCGAUGGAAACGACGGAUAAGACCUGAUAUAAUGGAAUUGUGCAUCACGAUUUUAUGAAAAGCAAUACCAUACGAGAGCUUUGCGUCCUAUUAGCUAGUUGGUAGUGUAAUGGACUACCAAGGCGAUGAUAGGUAGCCGGCCUGAGAGGGUGGACGGCCACAAGGGGACUGGGAUACGGCCCUUACUCUUACGGGAGGCAGCAGUGGGGAAUAUUGGACAAUGGAGGUAACUCUGAUCCAGCAAUUCUGUGUGCACGAAGAAGGUUUUCGGAUUGUAAAGUGCUUUAAGUUGGGAAGAAAAAAAUGACGGUACCAACAGAAUAAGCGACGGCUAAAUACGUGCCAGCCGCCGCGGUAA